This is a non-coding RNA of Ilyonectria robusta, 109 nucleotides long. NCBI's taxonomy places the organism in Eukaryota, Fungi, Ascomycota, Sordariomycetes, Hypocreales, Nectriaceae. The record is from the annotation of a RefSeq genome assembly.
CCCAGACUGGUGUAAUGGCAACACAUGCGUGUGGCAGCUACUGAAUCUUAAAUGAGAAAGUAGUCCCUUCGGGGGGUCGCAUAUCCUGGUUCGAUUCCGGGGUCUGGUU